Molecule: ribosomal RNA, 374 nt
Filed under: uncultured eukaryote
Lineage: Eukaryota
Description: partial 18S ribosomal RNA
Rfam family: Eukaryotic small subunit ribosomal RNA
Source: RNAcentral
UAAUAGUGUAUAUUAAAGUUGUUGCAGUUAAAAAGCUCGUAGUUGAAUGUUGGUGUCGAACGAGCGGUCAGCUUCGGCUGUACUGCUCUCUCGACUCCUUCCUUCUGUGGACUACGUCGCACUUUACUGUGUGGCGCUAGGACGCAGAUCGUUUACUGUGAAAAAAUUAGAGUGUUCAAAGCAGGCCGUACGCUUGAAUACAUUAGCAUGGAAUAAUGGAAUAGGACGUCGGGCCUAUUUUGUUGGUUCUAGGACCGUCGUAAUGAUUAAUAGGGACAGUUGGGGCCGUUUAUAUUCCGUAGUCAGAGGUGAAAUUCUUGGAUUUACGGAAGAUAAACUACUGCGAAAGCAUUCGGCAAGGAUGUUUUCGUCAA